RNAcentral lists this ribosomal RNA (200 nucleotides) under uncultured bacterium. RNAcentral's name for it is "partial 16S ribosomal RNA". It matches the Rfam family "Bacterial small subunit ribosomal RNA", at positions 8 to 213 of the family's 1533-position model. The record is from RNAcentral.
AGAGUUUGAUCCUGGCUCAGGACGAACGCUGGCGGCGUGCUUAACACAUGCAAGUCGAGCGGAAAGGCCCUUCGGGGUACUCGAGCGGCGAACGGGUGAGUAACACGUGAGCAAUCUGCUUAGCUUCGGGAUAGCUCCGGGAAACCGGAAUUAAUACCGGAUAUGACGUUGCUGACAUCAGCCAUAGUGGAAAGUUUUUC